CCUACGGGCGACUGCAGUCGAGAAUCAUUCACAAUGGGGGAAACCCUGAUGGUGCGACGCCGCGUGGGGGAAUGAAGGUCUUCGGAUUGUAAACCCCUGUCAUGUGGGAGCAAAUUAAAAAGAUAGUACCACAAGAGGAAGAGACGGCUAACUCUGUGCCAGCAGCCGCGGUAAUACAGAGGUCUCAAGCGUUGUUCGGAAUCACUGGGCGUAAGGCGUGCGUAGGCUGUUUCGUAAGUCGUGUGUGAAAGGCGCGGGCUCAACCCGCGGACGGCACAUGAUACUGCGAGACUAGAGUAAUGGAGGGGGAACCGGAAUUCUCGGUGUAGCAGUGAAAUGCGUAGAUAUCGAGAGGAACACUCGUGGCGAAGGCGGGUUCCUGGACAUUAGCUGACGCUGAGGCACGAAGGCCAGGGGAGCGAAAGGGAUUAGAUACCCUGGUAGUC
This 446-nucleotide ribosomal RNA is filed under the name uncultured bacterium. RNAcentral describes it as "partial 16S ribosomal RNA". It matches the Rfam family "Bacterial small subunit ribosomal RNA", at positions 338 to 795 of the family's 1533-position model. The record is from RNAcentral.